Molecule: RNA transcript, 1102 nt
Organism: Ictalurus punctatus (channel catfish)
Lineage: Eukaryota; Metazoa; Chordata; Actinopteri; Siluriformes; Ictaluridae
Gene name: myotubularin-related protein 1
Exons: 3
Source: RefSeq, a predicted model, not a curated record
CUUUGUUUUGUUUUCAUUCGCUUCCUGCCCGAGUUCUACUUUCUCUUUGAGGAUGUCCUUGAUUUAACCCAGGUGUCUUUGAUUUAGAUUAAUUAUGUUGGGUAUUUAAACCCCUCGGGUCUAUGCGUACGUCGCGUGAUAUUUGUAGUUGAGGUGCCUGUUAUACCGUGUUUGCUGGUUCGUUUCAUUGAUUUAUUAAUAAAGACAGUGCUCCUGCACUUACUUCCUGUUUAUCCCUCUGUUCCGUCACACUAGCGAUAAAGACUAAGGUAGAUGCCGCUCCAUCAGAAUUUGAGAGUUAUUGUUUUUGCGUGAAGAACGUGGAGGAGCUCCAGAGAGAGGUCACGUCAUCCUGCUCCAUCUCCUCAUCCUCAGAGCAUACUUCUCCCUCCUCACAUAGUGCAUGUAACAUCAGCACGACGUACGGGGUUCACCGAAACGGGACUAUUGAAGACUCGAAUAACCGGCUCUUUUUCCAGUCUGUGUAGCCUCACAUUCCUGUUAUUGGGUGACACGGGUGGAAUCCAAUGAGGUUUUCUACUGUUCUCAAGGUUUGGCAUGCUGUGUAUCCUGAGAUGCUUUUCUGCUCACCAUGUAUGUAAAGAGAGGUGAUUUGACUUUACCAUGGCCGUCCUAUUAACUUGACCCAGUCUGGCCAUUCUCCUUUCGUCAACAAGGUGUUUCCACCCCGAGAACUGCCACUUACCGGAAGUUUUUCACACAAGUAUGUGUGUGUGGAAAUCCUAGGAGAGCCGCAGUUUCUGGGAUACUCAAACCAGACCAUUUAGAAUCUACAACCAUGCCACAGAUAAAAUCACUGGAUUACAUUCUGGUGUUUGAUGUGAAUAUUGACUGAAGCUCUUCAUCUGAUCCUGCUUGAUCUUGUACAUUGUGGUGUUGCCAUAUGAUUGGCUGAUUGGAUAAUUGUAUGAAUGAGCACAUGUACAAGUGAUCAGUGAGCACAUCUAUCUACCAUAGAGGUAUUUUGGGGCAAUACUUGACAAUGUACCUGACUUUGUUAGAUUUGUGGCCAAGUUGAAGCUUUUGACAUCCCAAUGGAAAAAAAUAAAACAAUCCAAGACAAAUUCACUUUCAGUCUUUU